Molecule: long non-coding RNA, 207 nt
Filed under: Columba livia (rock pigeon)
Lineage: Eukaryota; Metazoa; Chordata; Aves; Columbiformes; Columbidae
Description: partial uncharacterized LOC102091550
Source: RNAcentral
GACUGGGGAGGAGACCGCAACACUCAAAUACCCAGAUCCUCUGUUGCUGCCAACCAGGCAUCAAGGCUGCCACUCACCUUUUUCAUCUCCAGGUUUGAGAGUCUCGUGCCCCAGAGUCCUUUGGCUGUGGUGAAAUGUCGACAAUCCUGAAAUGGUUUGGACGGGAAGAUAAGGAGACAGAGGAGAAGGAGAAAGAAAAGGACAAAG